GGGGAUAUAGCUCAGUUGGUAGAGUGCUUGCCUCACAUGUACAAGGUUCUGGGUUCAAUCCCCAGCACCA
This 70-nucleotide transfer RNA is filed under the name Ictidomys tridecemlineatus (thirteen-lined ground squirrel). RNAcentral's name for it is "Spermophilus tridecemlineatus (thirteen-lined ground squirrel) tRNA". It matches the Rfam family "tRNA". Rfam says of the family: Transfer RNA (tRNA) molecules are approximately 80 nucleotides in length. Their secondary structure includes four short double-helical elements and three loops (D, anti-codon, and T loops). Further hydrogen bonds mediate the characteristic L-shaped molecular structure. tRNAs have two regions of fundamental functional importance: the anti-codon, which is responsible for specific mRNA codon recognition, and the 3' end, to which the tRNAs corresponding amino acid is attached (by aminoacyl-tRNA synthetases). tRNAs cope with the degeneracy of the genetic code in two manners: having more than one tRNA (with a specific anti-codon) for a particular amino acid; and 'wobble' base-pairing, i.e. permitting non-standard base-pairing at the 3rd anti-codon position. Lineage: Eukaryota; Metazoa; Chordata; Mammalia; Rodentia; Sciuridae. The record is from Rfam by way of RNAcentral.